AUGUGGCUUAGUGGUAGAGUGCUUGCCUACCAUGCAUGAAGCCCUGGGUUCAAUUCCUCAGUAU
This 64-nucleotide transfer RNA is filed under the name Dipodomys ordii (Ord's kangaroo rat). It matches the Rfam family "tRNA", at positions 5 to 66 of the family's 71-position model. Rfam says of the family: Transfer RNA (tRNA) molecules are approximately 80 nucleotides in length. Their secondary structure includes four short double-helical elements and three loops (D, anti-codon, and T loops). Further hydrogen bonds mediate the characteristic L-shaped molecular structure. tRNAs have two regions of fundamental functional importance: the anti-codon, which is responsible for specific mRNA codon recognition, and the 3' end, to which the tRNAs corresponding amino acid is attached (by aminoacyl-tRNA synthetases). tRNAs cope with the degeneracy of the genetic code in two manners: having more than one tRNA (with a specific anti-codon) for a particular amino acid; and 'wobble' base-pairing, i.e. permitting non-standard base-pairing at the 3rd anti-codon position. The record is from Rfam by way of RNAcentral. Lineage: Eukaryota; Metazoa; Chordata; Mammalia; Rodentia; Heteromyidae.